This 512-nucleotide ribosomal RNA is filed under the name uncultured bacterium. Its description in RNAcentral is "bacterial SSU rRNA". It matches the Rfam family "Bacterial small subunit ribosomal RNA", at positions 18 to 518 of the family's 1533-position model. The record is from RNAcentral.
UCUUGGUCAGAACGAACGCUGGCGGCGCGUUUAAGCAUGCAAGUCGAGCGGCAAGGGCCUUCGGGCCCCUAGAGCGGCGGACGGGUGAGUAACACGUGGACAAUCUCGCCCCCCGGCCCGGGAUAGCCCAGGGAAACCUGGAUUAAUACCGGAUGAGACGGGACCCGCGAUGGCGGGACCCGGGAAAGGCGCUGCGGCGCCGCCGGGGGAUGAGUCUGCGUCCCAUUAGCUAGACGGCGGGGUAACGGCCCACCGUGGCGACGAUGGGUAGCCGGCCUGAGAGGGUGGACGGCCACAUUGGAACUGAGACACGGUCCAGACUCCUACGGGAGGCAGCAGCUAAGAAUCUUCCGCAAUGGGCGAAAGCCUGACGGAGCGACGCCGCCGUGAACGAAGAAGGCCGUGAGGUUGUAAAGUUCUUUUCGGGAGGGGGAACAACCGUGGCAGGGAAUGGCCGCGGGAUGACGUGAAUCCCCGGAAUAAGCCCCGGCUAACUACGUGCCAGCAGCUGC